UGCAGAGCUGGAUGUGCCCUGAGGCCAAAACCUCCCGGAAGGAGGUGUGGGGGGGGCAAUAUGGAGUUUUUCCACUGCUGCAACUAGGUUGCCUGCUCUGUGCUUCUUCUUCAACUGCUUCCCCACCACCUGUGUUUGACACUCUGAACCUGGCACAGCUUUGCCCACAAUGGACUCCCUCCAUACCAGCACCCUUGCUUGGCCAGAGGUUCCAGGAAGAGUCUAUGAAGAUGACUCAUUGUGAUUUCUUAUUUCUGCACUCCAUCCUAGAAGGGAAGGGGAAAAUUGAAGAAAGAAACUGGAAAUGCAAAAAAUUCCUAAAGGAACAAGUUGGAAAACUGCCUGAUGAUUCUCCCUGCGACUUUGGGAGAGCCCAGAUGCAUUCAGCUUUAUGUUCCCUAAAUUUGUGUUAGAGAUGAACCAGCAUGUACAUGUGGACUUGAAAUCCUUCAAAAAGAAGCUGCAUAACCCCCUAUUGGAUAUUGUUGAGGACUCAUAAUUUGUAUGGGGGUCAAGUGAGAUCUCAUGGAUUUGAACCAUGCAAUUCUAUGACUUUAUGAACCCAUAAAGAAACACAAACUAAAAGCCACUCAGUUUUUGAUUAUUUUUAAUAUAUUGGCUUCAAAUUCUUCCCAAAAGGAAUUUCUUAAGGGGGAGGGAAGACACAGAGCUUUUGGAGCUACUAUCAAGACAAAGGAGUUUUAUGAACUGGGAAGUGGCAUAGUCAUUUAUGUAAGCAAAAAUUUUUAUUUUGCCUCACAUUCACUUCUUUAUGGUUUAGAUGAGAAUUUUCCUCCUUGUCAUAACUUAUACUUUAGCAAUAAAUCAUGUUUUUCUCAAAUUGUAUC
Molecule: long non-coding RNA, 848 nt
Filed under: Monodelphis domestica (gray short-tailed opossum)
Lineage: Eukaryota; Metazoa; Chordata; Mammalia; Didelphimorphia; Didelphidae
Description: lncRNA (ENSMODG00000030404.2)
Source: RNAcentral